GUGUGCUAUGGGAGGAGGAGGACACCCUGGAAAGACAGUAGGGUCAGGCACUGAACUACCUUUGGAAGCAAGUAGGAGCAACAUCGAAGGUUUGCUGGCUGAGGAAGGAGGAUUAAUUGGAAUGAUUAAUCUGGAAGCUCUGUAAGAUGGAUUAGAUGGGCAAAUUGGAGGCAGGAAGGCUGGGAGGAGGCUGCUGCUACGUGAUUUUUCUUCCCCAACAGGUUCCCAGUUCCUGAUUUCUGGCCACCCCACUCUUACGGUGAGUCAUUUUGUUUGUGUUUUUUAGAAGCGAGGUCUCACUGUGUUACCCGGGCUGGAGUGCAGUGGCUACUUACAGGCAUGAUCAUAGCACACUGCAGCCUCGAACUCCUGGACUAAAGCAGUUCUCCUGCCUCAGCCUCCAGAGCAGCUGGGACUGCAGACACGCACCACAGACAGAGCCCAGCCUGAGUCAUUCUGAUUCUGUAACUGGCUUCCUCUCGGCCAUCGAUGGAAAUGUCAGAUACUGCGAGUCCACGCCUGAACACCUCUGGGGUCCGCUCUGGGACUGACACUGGCAGAUUCAUCGAUGAGCUCCCGCCUGCUACCUCUGGGCCUGCAUUGCGGUGAUACGGCCAAGGGCCUGGGUCUUCAAUUCUCCAGACUUGCCGAAUGCACAGCGCAGGCCUCCUCGGCAACUGCAGACAAGCAGAGGCAGCAGCACCUGGGCUCUGCCUGUGCCUGAGACAGGGUUCCACCAUGUUGCCCAGGCUGGUCUCAAACUCCUGAGUUCAGGUGAUCCACGUGCCUCAGCCUGCGAUAAAAUUGCACAGAAGUAAAUACACAUGCAUGCGUAUAAGGAAAACCGGGGAAACCUGAGCAAGAACAGUCACACCCCGGCUGUGAUGGCGUCCAGUAGUUCUGUGAGAUGUUACCACUGGGGAAACUGAGUGAAGUUCUUAGAUGCCCCAUAUGAAGAAUGAAAGAAUUGGCCACGAUGAUCCUUUAGGGUAUUCCAGGAUGAUGACAAAGGGGACCAGGCUCUUCUGCUGCUGGCCAAAGAGGACUUUACUUCCCAUUCCGUGUGGUUGAACAAGAAUUGCUGGGCUCCAGUCCUGCCUUUGGUCCUUCCCUACAUGUGACCUUGGGCCCUCUCUGCCUUUCAGCAUCAAGACAGUGAGAGAGUUACACAAGCUCAGGUUAGUAAGUCAUUCAACAAACAUUAAUGAACACUUAUCAAAUACUGCAUGCUGGAGUGGACACUGGAGAAAAAGGUGAGGAGAAGGCCGGGCGCAGUGGCUCAUGCUUAUAAUUCCAGCACUU
This is a long non-coding RNA of Rhinopithecus roxellana (golden snub-nosed monkey), 1302 nucleotides long. RefSeq lists it as uncharacterized. The record is from RefSeq and is a predicted model, not a curated record. The transcript is spliced from 4 exons. Lineage: Eukaryota; Metazoa; Chordata; Mammalia; Primates; Cercopithecidae.